Molecule: long non-coding RNA, 113 nt
Organism: Sphaeramia orbicularis (orbiculate cardinalfish)
Lineage: Eukaryota; Metazoa; Chordata; Actinopteri; Kurtiformes; Apogonidae
Exons: 3
Source: RefSeq, a predicted model, not a curated record
UGGGUUGGACAACAUCUCAGCUUCCUCUCCCUCAGUGUUAAACAACUCUCUACUAUUUCUGUUAUUCAAUUUCUUCUCCUGAUAAACAAGUAAACUAUGAAGUUGAAUAAGUG